GUAAUCACUUGUCUUCUAAAUAAAGACCUGUAUGAAUGGCUAAAUGAGGACAAGCCUGUCUCUUACAACCAAUCAGUGAAACUGAUCUACCAGUACAAAAGCUGGCAUAAACACAUAAGACGAGAAGACCCUGUGGAGCUUUAAACAAACCACUACCCUAACCCCUAGCCCUAGUGCAAUGUUUUAAGUUGGGGCGACUUCGGAACAAAACAAAACUUCCGAGCAGAGAUCCACCACUCCCACCAAGGCCCACAAGCCAAAGUACAAAACUGACCCGGCCGCUGCCGAUUAACGAACCAAGUUACCCCAGGGAUAACAGCGCUAUCUUCUUCAAGAGUCCAUAUCGACAAGAAGGUUUACGACCUCGAUGUUGGAUCAGGACACCCAAGUGGUGCAGCCGCUACUAAAGGUUCGUUUGUUCAACGAUUAACAGU
Molecule: ribosomal RNA, 434 nt
Filed under: Eutropis rugifera (rough-scaled sun skink)
Lineage: Eukaryota; Metazoa; Chordata; Lepidosauria; Squamata; Scincidae
Description: partial 16S ribosomal RNA
Rfam family: Bacterial large subunit ribosomal RNA
Source: RNAcentral